ACGCUGGCGGCAGGCCUAACACAUGCAAGUCGAGCGCCGUAGCAAUACGGAGCGGCAGACGGGAGAGUAACACGUGGGAACGUGCCCUUCAGUUCGGAACAACCCAGGGAAACUUGGGCUAAUACCGGAUACGUCCGUAAGGAGAAAGAUUUAUCGCUGAAGGAUCGGCCCGCGUCUGAUUAGCUAGUUGGUGAGGUAACGGCUCACCAAGGCGACGAUCAGUAGCUGGUCUGAGAGGAUGAUCAGCCUCACUGGGACUGAGACACGGCCCAGACUCCUACGGGAGGCAGCAGUGGGGAAUAUUGGACAAUGGGCGCAAGCCUGAUCCAGCCAUGCCGCGUGGAUGAUGAAGGCCCUAGGGUUGUAAAGUCCUUUCGGCGGGGAAGAUAAUGACGGUACCCGCAGAAGAAGCCCCGGCUAACUUCGUGCCAGCAGCCGCGGUAAUACGAAGGGGGCUAGCGUUGCUCGGAAUCACUGGGCGUAAAGCGCACGUAGGCGGCUUUUUAAGUCAGGGGUGAAAUCCUGGAGCUCAACUCCAGAACUGCCUUUGAUACUGAGAAGCUUGAGUCCGGGAGAGGUGAGUGGAACU
This 589-nucleotide ribosomal RNA is filed under the name uncultured bacterium. RNAcentral's name for it is "bacterial SSU rRNA". It matches the Rfam family "Bacterial small subunit ribosomal RNA", at positions 33 to 668 of the family's 1533-position model. The record is from RNAcentral.